Molecule: ribosomal RNA, 163 nt
Filed under: Stauracanthus genistoides
Lineage: Eukaryota; Viridiplantae; Streptophyta; Magnoliopsida; Fabales; Fabaceae
Description: 5.8S ribosomal RNA
Rfam family: 5.8S ribosomal RNA (bases 1-133)
About the family: 5.8S ribosomal RNA (5.8S rRNA) is a component of the large subunit of the eukaryotic ribosome. It is transcribed by RNA polymerase I as part of the 45S precursor that also contains 18S and 28S rRNA.
Source: RNAcentral
GCUCUUGCAUCGAUGAAGAACGUAGCGAAAUGCGAUACUUGGUGUGAAUUGCAGAAUCCCGUGAACCAUCGAGUCUUUGAACGCAAGUUGCGCCCGAAGCCAUUAGGUUGAGGGCACGCCUGCCUGGGUGUUGCACAUCGUUGCCCCUGUGCCUUGGCCACGU